AAGUCGUAACAAGGUCUCCGUAGGUGAACCUGCGGAGGGAUCAUUAACACGUUUUAACAACGUUUCCAACCAAAACCUGUGAACACAUAACAAAACUCCCUUCACAAACGGACGAACGAAUAACCAUCAGGGUGGAGAGUAGGAGUCAUUCCCUACAAACUAUGGCUCGUUCUAGGGUCCUCCGAGGACUCAAUCCGCUGUGAAGUGUCGUUGCGACCACCUGGCAGUCUGCAUUCAUUUGCAGCGUUCUGCCGAAUGUUUUAACCAAUUUUUUUAACCCCUUUAACAACAUACUAAUAACUGAACCAUUUUUUCAUGAGAGGCUUAGUGCUCUACUGGAAAAGAUAUACGUAAUGCUGAACAACUCUUAGCAAUGGAUAUCUUGGUUCUC
RNAcentral lists this unclassified non-coding RNA (391 nucleotides) under fungal sp. Its description in RNAcentral is "partial internal transcribed spacer region". The stretch from base 1 to 46 matches the Rfam family "Eukaryotic small subunit ribosomal RNA", at positions 1786 to 1831 of the family's 1831-position model. The record is from RNAcentral. Lineage: Eukaryota; Fungi.